Molecule: unclassified non-coding RNA, 1886 nt
Filed under: Hevea brasiliensis (rubber tree)
Lineage: Eukaryota; Viridiplantae; Streptophyta; Magnoliopsida; Malpighiales; Euphorbiaceae
Source: RNAcentral
CUAAAAGCUCUCAGCGGUCUCUCUCUCGCCUAUCAAACGGAUAUGGCCACACUAUCAUCCCUCUCUAUUUCCACACCCAAUUCUCUCAGAGUUCCCUCUCAUUUUCUUCCCCUUCCCCUUCCAAGCCUUCAUUUCCAAUCCCAUGGAUUUCCCAAUUCUUUCAGGCACUUGACAUUGAAGAAAACCGCCAAGAGUAAGAUUUCUUUUUCACAUGUUACGAAAUUAAGGUCAGUUGAAGAGGAAACUCAAAUACCAGAAGAAGAACAACCGCAACCUCAAGAACAAGAGCAAGAACCAGUACAAGAAGGACCUGAACAGCAAACUGUGUCUGUCCCUGUCUCUCCUUCUGACACUCUUACCAUGUUCUUUCAGGCAGAGGGAACAAUGAAUGAAACUGCUAUUCCUACAGUGACUAAUGCCUUGGAGGUAUGGAAAUUUCUAUCACCUUUUACUUCUUUUGUUUGAGUCAGAGCAAUAAUGAGUUUCGGGAUCGUAAGGAUGGGGGAUGCUGGGGAUUUUUACCAUGUGAAUUCUCAUUUUGAUUAAUGCCUUCCUCUGAUAGAAUAUGGUCUCUAUGAUGAGGACAAUAUUACCAUGAGAGUAGAGGGAAAUCAGCAAAAUCUUUGUCUCAUAUGAUAUUAUGGCAUGCAAUCGAUUUUCAUUGCAAUGAGAUUAUGUUAAAGGGUUGAUUGGAGGAGGGGAAGGAAGAUUAAUUAGAUGACUUCAAGCUGACUGGAACUGCUUUCUAGGUUUGAAUUGGAAGCUUGCACAUCCUACAUUAAAUAUUAAAUCAUAACUGAAUAGAGUUAUAUUUGACUCUAAAGCUUGUAUAAUAUAGACAAAAAUGUUUAAGAUGUGUAAUGAAGUAGGCUACCUAUUUCAUCUUGUUGGAAGAAGAUCCUAACAAUUGACUAAAUGAGUGUCGUUGACUAAAUGAGUGUGGUUAAAGGCUUUUGUGUUGGAUACAUUUCUGCAAACUGGAAAAUGUCAAAAGAUCAAAGGACGAAAGAUGAAUGGUAGGUAACUAUUGGAAAUAAAAUAAUUGAUAUCAUCUUUGCCUAAAUUUUUCGUAACUGUUGAUAGAUAAUCUUUUUCUUGACAUUGUACAUGGGGACAUUUAGGGCUAGCAUUUUUUGUAAGUGUUGAAUUCCAAAGGAUAAGGAAAUGCCCAAGUAUAUGUGAAAGAUAACAUCAAUGCUCAGUUUGAGGCUGGAAUUUUCUCAAGAAGUGCCAUAUAGGCUUUUCUAAUGAAUGAUAUAGAAUGUCUAUUUUCUCAAAGAAGUGGAUGCUAGCUAUAUAAAAUUGGAGUUGUGGCCAUGUUUGCUCUUUUGUUAUGACUUGGUCUUCAAUGGUUGGUCUUGGUGUCAAGUAGAGAUGUGCAAACUCUUAGGUUGAAGGCUUAUUUAUUGUCUAGCUUAGGGAUUAAUUGUUUUGCUUUAACUUUUUAAGUUUUGACUUUUGCAGUUGAUGUUGAUUUAUUUCUCAUGUAGGAGAUUGAUGAUAUUACAAAUUUGAAAGUUCAAGUCCUAGAGGGUAUUGCAAGUGUUGAGUUAACAAAACAAACAACUGUACAAGCUACAGGAGUGGCUUCUAGUUUGGUUGAGCUCAUACAGGGUUCAGGUUUCAAGUUACAGACUUUGAAUUUGAGUUUUGUGGAUGAGGAGGAUGCCUUUGUAUAGAUCAUGCAAUUUUUAUAAGCAGGAAAAAGAUAAAUUUUUGUACCUUCUACAAUCUAUUUUCUCAAAAUUCCUUGUAUUCUAGAUGUGUAUGCUUGGAAGUAAACUGUAUACCAUUACUCAACAUUUCAUCUUCUAGGCUGUGCUUGAAUUAACUUUGAUUGAUGUCAUUCUGUUUAAAACUGUUUUCCAAUUUCCUGGAAAUUUCAA